This 1062-nucleotide unclassified non-coding RNA is filed under the name Hevea brasiliensis (rubber tree). The record is from RNAcentral. Lineage: Eukaryota; Viridiplantae; Streptophyta; Magnoliopsida; Malpighiales; Euphorbiaceae.
GGGAGGUAUUCAUGUAAACUUCAACGAGAUUUACAUAUUAGUGUACAUAAUCAGUUGAUCAACUACCUCAUUAUAGUAUAUGUACCAAUCUGCUCAUAUUAGGAGAACAAAAUGUCAACAAACGUCAACAAAAUUGUUGACAUAGGAAACAAACAUUUGCAUAAUUCUGGUAACAAGAAGUCACCACAAUUUAAGCAACUGGAGGACGGAGAGAAUGAUCUUCUGAGGUAUCAACUGCAGCAGGAGGCACAAACUGCCACAUAGGGAUUCCAGGGUAGCCAAUAUAUGGCAUCAUUUUGCUUGCAAAGACUUGAUGUGGGGCUGAGAAAGGGGAAGGCAUUGCAGGAGGGUGUGGUAGAAAUCCAGGUUGAGUGUUCAUGGCCUUCAGAUGCUGCUCGAGUUUGUCUUUCUCUGCUUUUAGCUUUUGUUUCUCAUCUCGGAGUUCAUUUUUCUCAGCCUUCAAUUCAAUAACCUUCUCCUGCAAGUUGUUGUUCGACUCUUUCAGCUUCUGAGCUUCAUCUCUCAACUGCACCACCAUACGAACCGCAUCACCUAGGAUAACAGAUUUAUCCAUUUUUGGCUGCUUUCCUGGUUCCAGAAUAGAACUUAAUUCUUGAAACCUGUCAUUCAGCUUGUCCCUGCGCAUUUUCUCCCUAUGUGCUUUUGAAUCAGAUGCACAUGCUCCAGAUCUCACCCUCUUUUUGGAGCCGCAUUCCUUCAAACUAUCUGAGUUGCCAUAGGAAUCUUCUAAUCCAGAACUGAGAUUAUUUGGAAGGGAAAAAGCGUUGGAGGGCCAUUGAGCAUUGGGUUCAAGAGAAGGAAGGUCUUCCAUUAACCCUAAUUCUAUGAGCCAAUUUGAUCCGUCUUCCUCUGUUUCCGCCAUUUUCUCCGACGUGAGGAGUACCGGUGCCGGAAAAUUUCAGUUGAAGAUUGUAGGGUAUCCCAAUUCCAGUUGGGUGUUAGGUGGAAGAGGAAAAAAGGAGGAAAAUGAGGAGGAGAAGGAGAAGUGGAAGGAAAUUAUAUGUGUGGUGGAGGGAGAUUUUGUUUUUCACUGUGAAAAAG